UGGGGAAUAUUGGACAAUGGGCGCAAGCCUGAUCCAGCCAUGCCGCGUGUGUGAAGAAGGCCUUCGGGUUGUAAAGCACUUUUGUCCGGAAAGAAAAGCAUUCGAUUAAUACUCGGGUGUUAUGACGGUACCGGAAGAAUAAGCACCGGCUAACUUCGUGCCAGCAGCCGCGGUAAUACGAAGGGUGCAAGCGUUACUCGGAAUUACUGGGCGUAAAGCGUGCGUAGGUGGUUUGUUAAGUCUGAUGUGAAAGCCCUGGGCUCAACCUGGGAACUGCAUUGGAAACUGGCUGACUAGAGUGCGGUAGAGGGGUGUGGAAUUCCCGGUGUAGCAGUGAAAUGCGUAGAUAUCGGGAGGAACAUCUGUGGCGAAGGCGACACCCUGGACCAGCACUGACACUGAGGCACGAAAGCGUGGGGAGCAAACAGG
Molecule: ribosomal RNA, 429 nt
Filed under: uncultured bacterium
Lineage: Bacteria
Description: bacterial SSU rRNA
Rfam family: Bacterial small subunit ribosomal RNA
Source: RNAcentral